CACUACAAUUGUUCUUUUAAAUACUUUGUCAUUUCUUAUAUAAAAAAAAGAAAAAUUUCUUCUUUUUCAACGGAGAUUGAGUUGUUAUGUUUUUCUUAUGUUUUCGUGAAAAUUCAUGAAACGACGUGAGUUACAUAGUCAGAACUUUCAAUAUUGACCACGUAUAUAACUGAUCCAGAUUGGUGACCUAAAAAAAAAUAUUUUGGAUAGACGAAACUUUGUUAAAAAGAUAAAGAGUGUUUUAAAUUAAAAAAAUUAUCUUAUAAUGUCGACUAGUCUGAGUGGAAUUAAUAAUUUGAAAAAAAUAAAAAAUGUACCUCAACGAAAAGAAGACGUGACGGUAGUGAAACCAGUCAUUUUAGGGACUUAUGCUUUUAUGCUAACGGAACAGGAAAUAGCUCGACGAAGAAAUCGUAAUGAUAAUGCCACACAUCGUUGGUAUUGCACCCUGCGUUCUUCAACAUGCGAAGAUACCUCUUAUUUUAUUCGCAAAGUUGUUUUUAAUCUUCAUUCAAGCUUUAUCAAUCCUCAACGAACUUUUGAAAAACCUCCCUAUGAAUUUAAUGAAGUAGGGUGGGGUGAGUUUGAAAUCGUUUGUAAAAUUUAUUUCCUUGAUCCAAAUGAGCGACCUGUAGAACUACGUCACUGGUUAAGGUUGUAUCCGAGCGAUCUUCACACUCUGUAUCCCACUCCAACAGAAGUGAAUCCUGGUGCAUGCGUGGCAACCGAGAUUUACGAUGAAAUUUAUUUCAAUAGUCCAUAUGAACCUUUUUACAACAUUCUCAUGACGGGUCCUUUAAAACCGAAAAUUCAAUAUGAAAUGGCACCCAACUUUUUGAAAACGAAUAAUCAAGAUAAAUAUUUAGCUUCGCUCCUCUCAGCUAUUUCAACUGUCAACCAAGCAAUUGAAGAAGGAACAAGCAAGGCAACCACUUUGACAUUAGAAAUUAAUCAGCUUAAAGAAUCGUAUUACGCUAAGCAUGAUGAUAAAGCUUUAAUGAUUGUCAAUAAAGAAAAACAAAAUUUUUCCUGAGCAUAUUCAGCUUUGUAAUGUAUUAUAGAGGAAACAAAAAUGAAAAAACAAGACAAGCACUUUAAUUGUUUUUCUGAAUUGUUUUUUCUUUAUAAAGUUGAUAAAGCAAAAAUGGAUCCUUCAUUAUUAACGAAAACAAAAGGAAGGGUUUUCUCGUUAUUUGUUUGACUUUGAUUCGAUACAAGUACACCAUACAUGGAUACCUAUAGUAAU
This is an RNA transcript of Hylaeus volcanicus, 1246 nucleotides long. It is a transcript of the gene named YEATS domain-containing protein 4-like, with no coding region annotated. The transcript has 8 exons. NCBI's taxonomy places the organism in Eukaryota, Metazoa, Arthropoda, Insecta, Hymenoptera, Colletidae. The record is from RefSeq and is a predicted model, not a curated record.